CUGGGACCCGCGACCCCCGGAACCGCCCCCACCCCCUAAAGUGGGACCCGCGACCCCCGGAACCGCCCCCACCCCCGAACUGGGACCCGCGACCCCCGGAACCGCCCCCACCCCCCAGAGUGGGACCCGCGACCCCCGGAACCGCCCUCACCCCCCAAAGUGGGACCCGCGACCCCCGGAACCGCCCUCACCCCCCAAAGUGGGACCCGCGACCCCCGGAACCGCCCUCACCCCCCAAAGUGGGACCCGCGACCCCCGGAACCGCCCCCACCCCCUAAAGUGGGACCCGCGACCCCCGGAACCGCCCCCACCCCCCAGAGUGGGACCCGCGACCCCCGGAACCGCCCCCACCCCCUAAAGUGGGACCCGCGACCCCCGGAACCGCCCCCACCCCCCAAAGUGGGACCCGCGACCCCCGGAACCGCCCCCACCCCCCAAAGUGGGACCCGAGACCCCCGGACUGGGACCCGCGACCCCCGGAAUUCUCCCAGCCCCGAACUGGUCCCAGUAACCCCGAACUGGUCCCAGUAACCCCGGACUGGUCCCAGUAAGCCCGGACUGGUCCCAGCAUGCCGGACUGGUCCCGGCUCCGCGCCGGCCCCAGCGACCCCCGGAAUUCUCCCAGUGCCCCCCAGUAUCCCCCAGCACCCUCCCAGUGCCCCCUCUGACCCCUCCCAGUGCCCCCCAGUGCCCCCAGUCUCCCCCCCAGUGCCCCCGCAGCCCCCCAUGACCCGGGCCCGGUUUUUGGGGGGCUGUGCCUGGCUGCUGGGGGGGCUGGCCCUGCUGCAGACCCUCUACCUGCGCUCGCUGCCCGCCCCGCGCCCCCCGCCCCGCGCCCCCCGCCCCCCCCGGGGGGUCCUGGACGCCUCGGGCUCCUUCCGGGUCUACUGGGACGUGCUGGGCGCCCCCCCGGGCUGGGCCCGCGCCCCCCGCCCCGAGCUGGUCCUGGCCACCCACGGGACCCCCGGGCGGGCGGCGGCGGCGCUGGGGCGGGGGUCCUGGGGGGGGCCGCUGUCCCUGGCGGUUUUUGGGGAGCCCCGGGGGGGGCUCCGGGAGCUGCUGCGGCUCCUGGGGGGGCCCUGCCGGGGGCUGCGGGGGCGCCUGAGGCUGCAGGUGGUGCAGGGGGCGGCGGGACCCCCGCCCAGGGUGCCGCCCCCCCAGAAAGACCCCCGAGAGCCCCCCGGGGGGUGCCGGGGGGCUCUGGCCAGGCUGGCGGCCGCCGACCCCCCCAGUUACACUCUGGGGGUGCCGUACCCCGGGAACCUGCUGAGGAACGUGGCCUGGCAGGGGGCGGCCGGGGGGGGGCCCGGGGCGCGACCCCCGCCCCAAGCCGGGGGGCGUUUCGUGCUCAUGGUGGACGCGGACGUGGAGCCGAGCCCGGGGCUGCGCGAGGGGUUCCUGGAGCUGCUGCGGGGCGGGGGGCUGGACCCCCGGAACUGGGGCGGGGAGCCCCCAAACUGGGGGGGACAGGGGGGGAUGGACCCCCGAAAUGGGGGGGAACAGGACCCCAAAAACUGGGGGGCCCUGGGGGACCCCAGAGCUCCGGGGGCUUGGGGGGAUUUGGGGAGCCCCAAAACUUUGGGGGCUCCCGGUGGGCUGGGGGUCCCCAACUCCUCGGGGGUCCCCCAUGGCCUGAGUGACCCCGGUGUCCCCAACGCCCUGGGGGUCCCCAAGGUCCCGAAGAACCCCAAAAGUUCGUUGGGCCCCCAAGAGCCCAGGGGUCGCCAAGCCCCGAGUGACCCCAAUCCUCUGAGUGACCCCAGUGUCCUGAGUGACCCCAACGCCCUGAGUGACCCCAAUGCCCCGGGUGACCCCAACCCCUGGGGUGACCCCCACGCUCUCAGCGCCCCCCACCCCCCGGGCGGCCCCCCCUGGGCCCGCGCUCUCUUCGUGCUGCCGGCCUUCGAGCUGCGGGGGUCGCGCCGCCCCCCGGGCUCCAAGGCGGAGCUGCUGCGGCUCUGGGGGGCGGGGGUCGCCCGCCCCUUCUACGGGGGGCUCUGCCCCCGCUGCCAGGCCCCCACCGCCUUCGGCCGCUGGCGGGCGCUGCCCCCCGCCCCCCCGGGCCCCCCCCGGCUGCGCGUGGCCUACGAGGUGCCCUGGAGGGACCCCUGGGAGCCUUUCUUCGUGGCCCCCGCCCGCGGCGUGCCCCCCUUCGACGAGGGCUUCCUGCAGUACGGCUUCAACCGCAUCAGCCAGGCCUGCGAGCUGCACGUGGCCGGGUUCCGUUUCGCGGUGCUGGACGGGGCCUUCGUCACCCACCGGGGCUGGAAGGAGCCGGGCGGGUUCCACGGGGGGCGCGAGGCCGAGCUGGGCCGCAACCGCCAGCGCUACCGGGCCUUCAAGGAGGGGCUGAGAGUGAGGUACCCCAACUCCGACCGGCGCUGCUGAACACCUGGGACCGCUGGGGAUACACCUGAGCACGCCUGGGACAGCUGGGGACACCAGGGACAGCGCUGGGGAACCCCAGUGGACACCUUAGACACCGUGGAACCUCCCAAUGGACACCUGGGGACCCUCCAUGGACACCUGGAUGCCCCCUGGACAUGGGGGUGACUGUCCCUCAGUAAAUUUGGCCCCCUACCCAUGAUGCCUCUGUGUGGGUGAUGUCACGGGAGCGUGGCGAGCAGCUGCUGGUACGGACCAGUAAGGCCCAGUCCGGACCAGUAAGGCCCAGCGCACGAGGCGGAGACCCUGCCCGGGUUGUUUACCACAGCAAACUACAGCUCCCAGCAUGCAUCGGCUGCCGGCAUGGCCGAACUUCCGCCCCUACUUAAAAACCACAGCUCCCAGGAUGCCUCGGAAAUAACAUGGCCGCCAAGCUGCUUCCGGUUUUGCCUCUAAAUUUGAACUUCACUUCCCAUCAUGCAUCGGAAGGACAUGGCCGGAAGUGUUUGUCAUUUAUGGGACUCCAGCUCCCGUCAUGCAUCAGGGCAACAUGGCCGACUUCCGGUCCGCCAUUUCCUGACGGGGGAGGCGCAGCAGCGCCCCCUGGCGGGCGGGAGGCCCAAAGUGGGGCGGGGGGGGAAUCCCAAAUUUGGGAGUGGGAGGGGCCAAGGUGGGGGGAGGGGACCUGAAAUUCGAGCUGGGGGGAGGGGACAGGAUCCCAAAUGUUUUUGGGGGGGGUUGUGACCCCCCAAGUCCAGCGGGAGGAUCCGAUUUGAGCGAAAAACCCCAAAUUUGAGCCCAAAAAGCCCCAAAACGACCCAGAGUGCACCAAAGUCACGGUUAAUAAACAAAUUUUAUUUGCGUUUUCCA
This is an RNA transcript of Haemorhous mexicanus (house finch), 3255 nucleotides long. It is a transcript of the gene named beta-1,4-glucuronyltransferase 1, with no coding region annotated. The record is from RefSeq and is a predicted model, not a curated record. The transcript is spliced from 3 exons. NCBI's taxonomy places the organism in Eukaryota, Metazoa, Chordata, Aves, Passeriformes, Fringillidae.